RNAcentral lists this long non-coding RNA (546 nucleotides) under Nicotiana tabacum (common tobacco). RNAcentral describes it as "long non-coding RNA (NTAB_LNC015920)". Lineage: Eukaryota; Viridiplantae; Streptophyta; Magnoliopsida; Solanales; Solanaceae. The record is from RNAcentral.
AAUUCGAAGCGGAAGUUACUUUGUGUGUGGGGGUGUCCUCAAGUAUUGAAAAUUUCAUGGUCGAAUGACAACCCCCGUCGUAGAUUCUUCGGUUGUAAGUAUUAUGGGGUAGGUUAAGUUCUGAAAUUUUUGAAUGGGUUAUAUUUUGUUUGAUUUUUCUUAAAUUCUAAUAUUGUUUAUUUUGAUUCCACACAGUUGAAAUGGCGAAGUCCAUGUGAACAUUUCGAGUGGUAUGACCUUCAAUUCCCUCGGCAAGCAAAUAUUGUGAUAUUGGGUUUGCUAAAGAAGAGCAACAAUUAACAAAAAUAAUUGAAGUGGAAGAAAGUCUUAAAGCUAAUAUUGUGUUUUAGCUUGUUAUGCAAUGUAAUAAUGUAUUUGGGUUGUUUGUCUAUUAUUUUAUUAACGGAAUGCCAGAAGAUGUAUUUGUAUUUUAGUUCGAUCGAUGUAGUCUCCAGUUGUGUUUUAGUUCGAUGAAUGUACUCACCAGAAACUCUAUUUGUGUUAUUCAAUGCAUUGUCUAUAUGAAAUAAUAUAUAUGUUGGCAGA